Molecule: long non-coding RNA, 1196 nt
Organism: Pristis pectinata (smalltooth sawfish)
Lineage: Eukaryota; Metazoa; Chordata; Chondrichthyes; Rhinopristiformes; Pristidae
Exons: 3
Source: RefSeq, a predicted model, not a curated record
ACUUUUUUGACUGCUUUCGGUCUCUGAGGUUGAAAUGAUCCUUCUACUGUUGCACAAGGUUGCUUCAAUUGGCUUCCUGGAGAUACCUACUCUUUCACCUCCCGCUGACUUGGGAAUGCUACGAAUUGCUUGGAGGUUUUUGCUUAGCCCUUGUUUCUACUGGAGCCUGGGUUGGUUAUGUCUGAUUGUGGUCUCUUCAACACAGAUUUCAGGCAUGGAAUUACAGUUCCAUCAAAGGUCCCUUCAAUGGGGAGAAGAUGAGCCCAUUGAUGUCGGCACAUGGAGGCCUACAACCAACAUGCUUUUGGAAUUAGUCUCCUAGCAGCAGUCAUUCAUGUUAUGUGGUCUUUCUUCCAUGGGCAAUGCCACCCCUGAAACUGACUUCAAGCAUUUUUCAUUGCCUGUUCUGCGUGAAUAGCCACAGGCCUCUUGCCAAUUGUCCCUGUCAAAGAAAGGCCGAGCAGAAGCCUUUCAACUUUGUCACAGUGUGCGACGGAGACUUCUAUCGCAUUGUUGUUUGGAUGACGGUUAGCACUGUAAAGUGGGCCUGGAAGAGAAUGCACAAUAAGAAGUGAUUGAGGCUUUAUGCAGUCUCCAGAUGCUGGCAUGUUUAUUAAUUUACAAAACUCAUGUCAUUGGCUAUAAAGAAAAGAUCAGGCCUAUUGAAGAUCAGUUCUGUUUGCUUGUAGUGCAUUAACAAUAUAUUGGCAAUUUCUCUUAAGUGCUCAACUUCCUGUUAUUGGUUCUGAAUUCUCAAGUGUUUUUUUUUGUUGCAGUGUAAUUUUAUGUUGCUGUGCAAAGCUUCUUGCAAAAGCUAGAAAAUAAUUUUGAACAGACAGCAGCAAAAACAUAACGUGCCUGUAGUUUUUCGAUUUCUCGUUUCAUUUUAGUGGCUUUCUCCUGGCUGUGGAAAGUGGAAAUGGCAUUAACCGUGCAGUCGUCUGCAGACAGUUUGCCCAAUCGAGCUGAAGGAAGGAGCAUGGAUUGGAACAUUUAUUUUAAGAAAAGAGGAAAAAUGUUCAUUCUCAAGCAAAGCGGUUUUACAGCGUUCUGUUCUGAGCUAAUGGUUCCCACAUCCUAACCGCCCAUUUCCUUCUUCAUAGCUGGUUUCAACAUGGCUAAUGCAGCUUGCUCCUUAUCUACUGUACAGCCCAGUCACAAUGACACAACACAAGGCUUUAAUGUAAAAGUGUCUG